Molecule: ribosomal RNA, 403 nt
Filed under: uncultured bacterium
Lineage: Bacteria
Description: bacterial SSU rRNA
Rfam family: Bacterial small subunit ribosomal RNA
Source: RNAcentral
UGAGGAAUAUUGAGCAAUGGGCGCAAGCCUGACUCAGCAACGCCGCGUGGAUGACGAAGGCCUUCGGGUUGUAAAAUCCUUUUCUGGGGGAAGAUAAUGACGGUACCCCAGGAAUAAGUUCCGGCUAACUACGUGCCAGUAGCCGCGGUAAAACGUAGGGGACGAGCGUUAUCCGGAUUUACUGGGCGUAAAGCGCAUGUAGGUGGCGCGGAAAGUUGGACGUGAAAGCUCCCGGCUUAACUGGGAGAGGUCGUACAAAACUACCGUGCUUGAGGUUGGAAGAGGAGAGCGGAAUUCCCGGUGUAGUGGUGGAAUGCGUAGAUAUCGGGAGGAACACCAGUGGCGAAAGCGGCUCUCUGGUUCAAUACUGACACUGAGAUGCGAAAGCGUGGGGAGCGAACGG